Molecule: long non-coding RNA, 278 nt
Filed under: Fukomys damarensis (Damara mole-rat)
Lineage: Eukaryota; Metazoa; Chordata; Mammalia; Rodentia; Bathyergidae
Description: lncRNA (ENSFDAG00000032313.1)
Source: RNAcentral
AAGAAAGAGAAAAGAAAUCUCACUUUUUUUCACCUCUAAUGAAGGAUUUAGCUGAUGUUUUUCCAGAAAGGGUCAUGCUUUUCUGUUAGGCAUGUAUUCUAAUGGUUUCCUCUGGCGCUUACCAAUUAAACCGCUUUUCCUCUACACACACAGGCGCGCGCGCACACACACGUCUUUUGUGUCCUGCUGGACGUGGUGAGAACUGUGUGGGAGGCCGUGUGGGGAACCUGUCUAGAACCGUCAGGUGCCAGCCAUAUCUUUCAGGAUUCACAGAAUGA